This 274-nucleotide ribosomal RNA is filed under the name uncultured bacterium. RNAcentral's name for it is "partial 16S ribosomal RNA". It matches the Rfam family "Bacterial small subunit ribosomal RNA", at positions 523 to 796 of the family's 1533-position model. The record is from RNAcentral.
AUACAGAGGGUGCGAGCGUUAAUCGGAAUUACUGGGCGUAAAGCGUACGUAGGCGGUUAAGUCAGUCAGAUGUGAAAGCCCUGGGCUCAACCUGGGAACUGCAUAUGAUACUGCUUGGCUAGAAUAUGGUAGAGGGAAGUGGAAUUCCGGGUGUAGCGGUGAAAUGCGUAGAUAUCCGGAGGAACACCAGUGGCGAAGGCGGCUUCCUGGACCAAUAUUGACGCUGAGGUACGAAAGCGUGGGUAGCAAACAGGAUUAGAAACCCUGGUAGUCC